RNAcentral lists this ribosomal RNA (339 nucleotides) under uncultured bacterium. RNAcentral's name for it is "bacterial SSU rRNA". It matches the Rfam family "Bacterial small subunit ribosomal RNA", at positions 1 to 334 of the family's 1533-position model. The record is from RNAcentral.
CGCACUAGUUCAGAGUUUGAUCCUGGCUCAGGACGAACGCUGGCGGCGUGCUUAACACAUGCAAGUCGAACGGUGAUGCUCCAGCUUGCUGGAGUGGAUCAGUGGCGAACGGGUGAGUAACACGUGAGCAACCUGCCCCAGACUCUGGAAUAAGCGCUGGAAACGGCGUCUAAUACUGGAUACGAAACUGGCCCGCAUGGGCAUGGUUUGGAAAGUUUUUCGGUUUGGGAUGGGCUCGCGGCCUAUCAGCUUGUUGGUGAGGUAAUGGCUCACCAAGGCGACGACGGGUAGCCGGCCUGAGAGGGCGACCGGCCACACUGGGACUGAGACACGGCCCAG